AAGUCGUAACAAGGUUUCCGUAGGUGAACCUGCGGAAGGAUCAUUAUUGAAUAAGCUUGAACAGGUUGUUGCUGGCCCCUCGGGGUAUGUGCACACUUGUCUUCUUUAUUUCUCCAACUGUGCACAUAUUGUAGACCUGGAAUUGUUUUUGUGAUUCACUCGAGUUGGGACUGCUGUGCUUCCUUUGUUUGAAGUCGGCUUUCCCUUUUCAUUUCCUGGUCUAUGUAGUUUUCACAAACCUCUGAAAGUGAUUAGAAUGUGAAAUUUAUAAAGUUAAUAUAUACAACUUUCAGCAACGGAUCUCUUGGCUCUCGCAUCGAUGAAGAACGCAGCGAAAUGCGAUAAGUAAUGUGAAUUGCAGAAUUCAGUGAAUCAUCGAAUCUUUGAACGCAUCUUGCGCUCCUUGGUAUUCCGAGGAGCAUGCCUGUUUGAGUGUCAUUUAAAUUCUCAACUGUACCAAUUUCUUCUUUUGGUGUGGCUUGGAUGUGGGGGUUGUUUUUGCAGGCUUCUUCUCAUCGUUGAAGUCAGCUCCCCUGAAAUGAAUUAGUGGUAUCUGAGCUACUACAGGUGUGAUAAAUUAUCUAUGCCUCUAGUUAUGCUGAUUGUGCUGCUUCUAAAACCAAAAAACCUUUGAUAAAUUUGACCUCAAAUCAGGUAGGACUACCGCUGAACUUAAGCAUAUCAAUAAGCGGAGGAAAGAAACUACAAGGAUUCCCCUAGUAACUGCGAGUGAAGCGGGAAAAGCUCAAAUUUGAAAUCUGGCAGUUCUUGACUGUCCGAGUUGUAAUCUAGAGAAGUGUUACCUGUGCUGGACCGUGUACAAGUCUCCUGGAAUGGAGCAUCAUAGAGGGUGAGAAUCCCGUCUUUGACAUGGACUACCUGUACAUUAUGGUGCGCUCUCGAAGAGUCGAGUUGUUUGGGAAUGCAGCUCAAAAUGGGUGGUAAAUGCCAUCUAAAGCUAAAUAUUGGCGAGAGACCGAUAGCGAACAAGUACCGUGAGGGAAAGAUGAAAAGAACUUUGGAAAGAGAGUUAAACAGUACGUGAAAUUGCUGAAAGGGAAACGCUUGAAGUCAGUCGCAUUGGCUAGAAAUCAACUUUGCUUUUGCUUGGUGUACUUUCUGGUUCAAUGGGUCAGCAUCAAUUUUGACCACUGGAUAAAGUCUCUGGGAAUGUAGCAUCUUAGGAUGUGUUAUAGCCCAUUGUUGCAUACGGUGGUUGGGAUUGAGGAACUCAGCACGCCGCAAGGCCGGGUUUCGACCACGUUUCGUGCUUAGGAUGCUGGCAUAAUGGCUUUAAUCGACC
This 1303-nucleotide ribosomal RNA is filed under the name uncultured fungus. Its description in RNAcentral is "eukaryotic LSU rRNA". The stretch from base 641 to 1303 matches the Rfam family "Eukaryotic large subunit ribosomal RNA", at positions 1 to 649 of the family's 3401-position model. The record is from RNAcentral. Lineage: Eukaryota; Fungi.